Pleurotus ostreatus PC15 is the source of this 91-nucleotide transfer RNA. It matches the Rfam family "tRNA". Rfam says of the family: Transfer RNA (tRNA) molecules are approximately 80 nucleotides in length. Lineage: Eukaryota; Fungi; Basidiomycota; Agaricomycetes; Agaricales; Pleurotaceae. The record is from Rfam.
ACACCGAUGGUGAAACGGUAUCAUGCUUGCCUUCCACAGAGAUAACCUCUCAAGUGAGCAAGCGGCGUGGGUUCGACUCCCGCUCGGUGUA